This 432-nucleotide long non-coding RNA is filed under the name Nicotiana benthamiana. RNAcentral's name for it is "long non-coding RNA (NBEN_LNC005945)". The record is from RNAcentral. Lineage: Eukaryota; Viridiplantae; Streptophyta; Magnoliopsida; Solanales; Solanaceae.
CAUAGUUGAAGUAAUAAGUUACAACCCUCGAAAUGUGAUGCCCCUUGUUGACACUUUCCCAAGGCUCGAUAGAUUUCUGCGAGGAUCAUAGGUACGAUGCUGAAUAACUGCCCAUUGAUUCCUUCCAUCAAAGUCUUGGUAACCAUGGCUAGUCUGGUGUGGAUCCUAGCCUCUUCAUAGGGAAAAUUACCAUGCCCAAAAAGCAAAACAUAAACACAAACACCCUUCUAUAUGUGUGCCCCAAAUAGGUAAGGGCGAAUUCAUCCCAUGUAGGUGUGAUAGGACUUACUGUGGCCAUAUCUCUCGUAUAGGAAAUUGAAUUGUAUGUAAGAGUCCUUCAAGCAAGAAAGGUUGGGAUUUUUCUUGAGUCCAUAAUUUUAAGGAAACCUCUACUUUUGUGAUUCUUUGGCAUGAGUAAACCCGCGUUUCCCA